RNAcentral lists this ribosomal RNA (301 nucleotides) under uncultured bacterium. RNAcentral describes it as "partial 16S ribosomal RNA". It matches the Rfam family "Bacterial small subunit ribosomal RNA", at positions 509 to 807 of the family's 1533-position model. The record is from RNAcentral.
CAGUAGCCGCGGUAAUAGGGAGGGGGCUAGCGUUGUUCGGGAUUACUGGGCGUAAAGCGCACGUAGGCGGCUUGGUAAGUUAGAGGUGAAAGCCUGGAGCUCAACUCCAGAAUUGCCUUUAAGACUGCCGAGCUAGCAGGUGAGAGAGGUAAGUGGAAUUCCGAGUGUAGAGGUGAAAUUCGUAGAUAUUCGGAAGAACACCAGUGGCGAAGGCGGCUUACUGGCUCAUACUGGACGCUGAGGUGCGAAAGGGCGGGGAGCAAACAGGAUUAGAUACCCCCGUAGUCCCUGUCUCUUAUAC